CCUACGGGAGGCUGCAGUGGGGAAUAUUGGACAAUGGGGGCAACCCUGAUCCAGCCAUGCCGCGUGUGUGAAGAAGUCCCUCGGGUUGUAAAGCACUUUCAGUGAGGAAGAACGCCUGGUGGUUAAUACCCAUCAGGAAAGACAUCACUCACAGAAGAAGCACCGGCUAACUCCGUGCCAGCAGCCGCGGUAAUACGGAGGGUGCGAGCGUUAAUCGGAAUUACUGGGCGUAAAGCGCGCGUAGGUGGCUUGAUAAGCCGGUUGUGAAAGCCCCGGGCUCAACCUGGGAACGGCAUCCGGAACUGUCAAGCUAGAGUGCAGGAGAGGAAGGUAGAAUUCCCGGUGUAGCGGUGAAAUGCGUAGAGAUCGGGAGGAAUACCAGUGGCGAAGGCGGCCUUCUGGACUGACACUGACACUGAGGUGCGAAAGCGUGGGUAGCAAACAGGAUUAGAUACCCUGGUAGUC
RNAcentral lists this ribosomal RNA (465 nucleotides) under Vreelandella stevensii. RNAcentral's name for it is "partial 16S ribosomal RNA". It matches the Rfam family "Bacterial small subunit ribosomal RNA", at positions 338 to 795 of the family's 1533-position model. Lineage: Bacteria; Pseudomonadati; Pseudomonadota; Gammaproteobacteria; Oceanospirillales; Halomonadaceae. The record is from RNAcentral.